RNAcentral lists this ribosomal RNA (204 nucleotides) under uncultured bacterium. Its description in RNAcentral is "partial 16S ribosomal RNA". It matches the Rfam family "Bacterial small subunit ribosomal RNA", at positions 568 to 774 of the family's 1533-position model. The record is from RNAcentral.
UGCGUAGGCGGGUUCUUAAGUCAGGGGUGAAAUCCUGGAGCUCAACUCCAGAACUGCCUUUGAUACUGAGAGUCUUGAGUUCGGGAGAGGUGAGUGGAACUGCGAGUGUAGAGGUGAAAUUCGUAGAUAUUCGCAAGAACACCAGUGGCGAAGGCGGCUCACUGGCCCGAUACUGACGCUGAGGCAAGACGUGGGGAGGCAACA